GACGAACCGUGCGAACGUUGUUCUGAAUCCCUGGGCUUAAAGGGCGCGUAGGCGGGUGAUCAAGUCAGGGGUGAAAUCCUUCCGCUCAACGGGAGAACAGCUUCUGAUACUGGUCAUCUUGAGGGGGGUAGGGGCAUGUGGAACUUCCGGUGGAGCGGUGAAAUGCGUAGAUAUCGGAAGGAACGCCGGUGGCGAAAGCGACGUGCUGGACCCUUUCUGACGCUGAGGCGCGAAAGCCAGGGGAGCAAACGGG
RNAcentral lists this ribosomal RNA (253 nucleotides) under uncultured bacterium. RNAcentral describes it as "partial 16S ribosomal RNA". It matches the Rfam family "Bacterial small subunit ribosomal RNA", at positions 524 to 776 of the family's 1533-position model. The record is from RNAcentral.